This 5032-nucleotide long non-coding RNA is filed under the name Sus scrofa (pig). Its description in RNAcentral is "lncRNA (ENSSSCG00015038034.1)". The record is from RNAcentral. Lineage: Eukaryota; Metazoa; Chordata; Mammalia; Artiodactyla; Suidae.
GGGUCUCCCAGGCAGAGGAAGCAGCACAUACAAAGGCAUCCAGGUGUCCCAUAGCAUGUUUUGAACGCCAAAUAUUUUAAUGCUGAAUAAAUUGGAGAGAGGAAAAACAGAACUAGCGAAGUCUGGAGGGAGCUGCUUUAGGGGAAAAAAUCACAAGGAUAAUGGUUAAAUCAAAGAUUUGGAAACAAAAGGACAUGGAUCCGUUUCUAGUUGUGAAAUAUAUGACAAGUCACUUUAUCUCUCUGGGCCUGGUUUUCUCAUCUAUAUAAUGUGAAUUGUAUUACUGCAGUACAAUGUUCUUGAGAGGAUUAAGUAAGACAUAUAAAUAAAGCACUUUGCCUCAGAGCUGGUACAUACAUCAGCUCACUGAAUGAUAGUUGGUGCUGUUCUCACAAUCAUGGUUGAGUUUAAGUAUCAAUGGCCCAUCAAUGACAAUGCCCACCAGGCUGUUAGAAAUGGGGAGAAUGAUGUGCCAUCAAGGUCCGAGCAAGGAGAUAGGAUCCUUGAAACCCCAGGAGCAUCAAGUCCCUCAAAGGGCCCAGAUGUCAGGAGAAGGGCAGAGUCUCAGGCUGAGCGUCUGGAUUAUCACAAGAUGUUUGUGUUCGGUGCAGGGGAGGACUAGGAGCUGGCCACUGAGGGAGCAGGCGGGACAAGGUCCAUAUGGCCUCAUGGGAGCCAAAGGAGGUGAGAAUUCAAGUGAGUCAGGAUCAAAUACUUGACCAAGAAGUUUCUAGAAUAAGUAUUAUGGAAUGACUAGGACUGAGAAAGUUGUAGGAGAUUAAGAGGAGACUAGGUGAGAGAGAGCAGAUGGAGGAAGCGAAAGUUUGUGAAAAACAGGUGACCUGAGUUCUAGGCCCCACUCUGAAAAUAACCCCAUCCUUUUUGGGAAGGUCGCAUACCCCCCUCUAUGCCUUUUUCCUUAUCUGUAGCAUGAGACGGUUAGACUAGAUGACUUUGAAAUUCCUUUCCAGCUCUCAGAUACUAAGCACACCAAGCUGUGGGGCGUUGUGGGGAGAGGGUUAAGGAAGACAUGCUAUAGAUGUUACAGAGUCUGUACCAUCUCCUCCCUUUUCCUCUAUUUGGCCACUUCUACUGCCUGGAGGAAGGAACACAGAGGGGACAGCCUAUAAGUCAGCACCCAUCAAUCUCUACCUCCCAUAUUCCUGCCCUUAUGUAGUUAUCUUCUCUUGAGUGGGAUUGGUGGGCCCCUAGUGACUUACUUCUAGUAAAUAUAAUAUGAAAAAGUGAUGGAUGUCACUUCUGAGAUGACAAAGGACUCAAAGUGUGUGAGGUACAAAGAGACUGUGGCUUUCAUAUGUGUAUUCUCUUGUGCUUUCUCACUCACUCCCUCUCUCCAAGGAAAGCCACCUGCCACAUUGUAAGCUGUCCUGUGGAGAUGUCCGCAUGGCAAAGAACUGAGAGAGGGCCCCAGCCAGUGGUGAGUGAGGCGUUCGUGAGAAACUGAAUUCUACUCACAGCACCAGGAAUCUUCCCAGCUGAGUUUUCAGAUGAGACCACAACCCCAGCAGACAUUUUGCAGCCUUGCUAGAUAGAAUGCAGAGGUAGAGGCACCCAACUAGGCUGUUCUUAGAUUCCUGGGAUUCCACAGAAUCCCUGUGGAUAAUGACCGUUUGGGUUAUUAAGCCAUUCAGUAGGGGAGGAGGGAGGUGAUUUGCACACAACAAUACGUAAUUACAAACUACAAGAUGACAAACAGAACAGGGCUGCAUUUUUUAAGAAAAGGAGAAGUUAACUCCAGGAAUAGAAGAGUGGAGGAAGCAUUUGAAACAAAAGGAAUGGUACAUGGCAGUCUCAGACUUGGAUUUCAGCAUGCCAUGAUUCUCAAUCCCCCACAUGGAUCCAGUACAGAGUUGGUCCUCUAUACUCAUUUAAUUCACUUAAUUGUAGUUAAUUCAUCACCGUCACCUCCCCAUAAUCCUUGAAAAAUGUUUAUUGUGCUCAAUUCUCAUUUCCCCAAACUCAUCAUAUUAUUCUUGUUCAGAAAUACUUCACCAAGUCUCUUGGGAUUUUCAGGAAUGUGUGCCUACUGAUUUGCAUGCAGGAAGACAUACAAGAAUCUUUUUGUUAGAGGUUAUUGAGAUAUGUUCUUUUGAAACCUCUUCCUUGAUCUUCUUCUGCAGACAGAUUUAACUAAUGGGCGAGGUGUCUUAGUCCUGGGAGUGCUAUCCUUCAUUUUCUACCCAGCUUCAUUUAUAAGGACUAGCCUCAUAGUCUCUUCUCUUUGCUCUGCUGACAUAUUUACUGAAACCCUGCCCAGCAAUUUUUCACAUAAGAUGGGAUUUCCAUUUGAGCGUGGAAUCUGCUAGCAGAACUAGGGUUACCUCCCUCUGGAAUAGAUGAGGAAAUCUUAUCAUAUCCAUUUUCUUUGUCCAGUAUUUAUAUCCAGACUCCUCAGCCUCCUUUGCAGUUCAGUUGGGACUCAGGUGACUCGUUCUGGUCAAUGAACUGUAAACAGAAGGGAUGUGUUGUCCCAUCUGUUUGAGGGCAGUUAAGAAACUCUAUUCUCCUGCUGAGAUACCCACAGGGGCCAUGAAUUGACAAGGGAGGUAUUGAGAAUGGAAGCAGUCUGGAUUGUUGAGUUAGUGUAUGAAGAACAACCAUCCUACCCUGAAGUUUAAGAGGGCAAGAGUUUAAAACUUACCAUGUUAAGUCACUGAAACGUGAGGGCUUAUUUAUUACACAGCAUAAUCUAGCUUAUACUGAUGAAGGAACCCCUUAAAAAAAGAGACGUGACAGAAAACCUGAAAGCUACACAAAAAUGGUACUACAUGAGAUCAGAGAGAUCCUAAGGGCUCCACUCUUGCCAGGGACCCGUGGACCAAGUUGAGGAUGCUGGUGGGAGAGUUCAAAGGGCAUAGAGCAGGGGUGGCAUAAUCAGAGCCCUUUGCUCCUCGUUGGAGAAUGGAGUGAUGGUGGAUAUAGAUAGAGGUCCGAUGAGGGAUGGCUCUGCUUAGAUGAAGGUGGUGGGAGAAUCAAUGAAGAGAUGUGGAGGAAUUUGAACUCUACUUUAUGUAGAAUCCACAAAACAUUGAUUGAUGAGAUCACUCCAAAGGUGGAUAUAUAUCAAGAUAUCCCAGAUUCUCAACUGAGUGUGCAGUGGUGCCCUUCUUCGGAAUAAGUAACACAUGCAAAGCACCAGAUGUGGUACGAGGGUGGGGAGUGUAGGGGAAGGUGAUCAAUCCAGCUUUAGAUGUAGUCAGUAGAAAGUGAAUGUGAGGCAGCCACAUGGCAAAGAUUAGUGGGUACUUGGAGAUACAGGUAGACCUCGAGAGGUCAAGGGUAAGAAGUAGACAUUUCUGUCAUCAGCUAAGAGAUGGCUGUCAAAGAUGCAGGCAUGUAAGAGAGAGCAACAGGGAGUUCCCAGGCUCAGUGGAAACGAAUCUGACUAGCAUCUAUGAGGAUGCAGGUUUGAUCCCUGCCCUUGCUCAGUGGGCUCAGGAUCCAGUGUUGCCAUGAGCUGUGGUAUAGGUCACAGGCUGGCUCAGAUCUGGCAUUGCUGUGGCUGUGGCAUAGGCCAGUGGCUACAGCUCUGAUUUGACUCCCAGCCUGGGAACCUCCAUAGACCUCAGGUGUGCUCCAAAAAGGCCCAAAAAAACAAAAACAAAAACAAAACAAAAAAAAAAACAAAGCAAAAGACCCCAAACAAACAAACAAACAGAAAAUAUAAAGCAACAGGGGGAAAAUGUAGGAGGAAAGGCUUUAUUUCAGUUUAGCAAAGAUCUUAUUUGUACCAGGUCCAGCUGGCUACGGCAUACAAAGACGAAUAAGACAGAGUGCCCUGAGUUUCUUAGAGAAUCGAGCAUGGUGUACAGGCAUAUACACAGUAACAGGAUGGAUGAUGUGACCAUCCCUGCUGGCAGGUAGGGGCAGGUGGGGGUCUGUAAACCUUGGUCUGUCAUCAUCAUAGGAGCUCCUGACUCACUGAGUAAUGUCUUGUCUUCCUUAAGACUUUGACGUCUUUCCUCACAGUCAUCCACCAGCCACGAGGUGGGGAUCUUCCCGCUCUUCCUACCUAGUCUUUGCAAACCCAAACUCUGUUCUUUUGCAUCCUGUGGAUCUGUUUCUGCAAUGGAAAUCCCCUUCUCAGGUUCCCCAGGCAAUAGUCGUCCCCCAAACUUUGCAGAGCUGCAGAACUUUUGAUGCCAGCCGCCUCAUCCAAAAAGUGAAACUAAAUGAACUCACUGCCUUAUGCAGCUGUCUCCAUUGGUAAUGGAAUCCUUUUAUUACAGGGAAUUAGUUUAAAACAUGUUAUUAAACAGAUCAAAAUGAGCAAUAGCAAUGAAAGUCGUUAAAAUGCAAGGCGUAAGAGAGCACAGCUUCCCCCCUGAAAUAAGAGAAAUCUGAAAGUUAUGAUUGGAACAAUUUUGAGUGGGAAGAAAAUGAGAAUGAGGUGCCACAAGGGAUAAAGUGAUGUGGGGACAACAGCUACUGCUGAAAAUGGUGGGGCUCACCUCAGAGGAAGAAGGGGUGCUCCAAAGAAGAGUCUCUGGUGUAACCCAAAGGGAAGGGCCCAGGGCCAGGGUACGGAUGGAUGCAGAGGCCCCGGGGAAACCCAGCAAAUGGUAGGUUAGCCAGUCUUGCAGUCACAGUAGAGUAACAGUGGCCAAUAUGCUGAGCAUUUUCCAUGUGUUACCAUUUUGCUAAAUUCUGCAUUUGCACAUCUUACUUAAUCCCUGUAACAACCAAUGCAGUAGGUAAGGGUAUCACCCUCCUUUUCACGGACAGGGAAACUGAGCCUCAGAAAGGUUCAUAUCUUGGGAGUUCCCGUCAUGGCGCAGUGGAAACCAAUCUGACUAGCAACCAUGAGCACGCAGGUUCGAUCCCUGGCCUUGUUCAGUGGGUUAAGGAUCUGGCAUUGCUGUGAGCUUUGGUGUAGGUUGCAGACCUGGCUUGGAUCCCGCGUUGCUGUGGCUGUGGCAUAGGCUGGCAGCUACAGCUCCCAUUCGACCCCUAGCCUGGGAACCUCCAUAUGCCACAGGUGCGGCCCUAAAAAGUCCAAAAAGAAAAAAAA